RNAcentral lists this ribosomal RNA (253 nucleotides) under uncultured bacterium. RNAcentral describes it as "partial 16S ribosomal RNA". It matches the Rfam family "Bacterial small subunit ribosomal RNA", at positions 524 to 776 of the family's 1533-position model. The record is from RNAcentral.
UACGUAGGGACCAAGCGUUGUUCGGAUUUACUGGGCGUAAAGGGCGCGUAGGCGGCUUGACAAGUCACUUGUGAAAUCUCCGGGCUUAACUCGGAACGGCCAAGUGAAACUGUCAUGCUAGAGUGCAGAAGGGGCAAUCGGAAUUCUUGGUGUAGCGGUGAAGUGCGUAGAUAUCAAGAGGAACACCUGAGGUGAAGACGGGUUGCUGGGCUGACACUGACGCUGAGGCGCGAAAGCCAGGGGAGCAAACGGG